AGAUUGAACGCUAGCGGGAUGCUUUACACAUGCAAGUCGAACGGCAGCGCGGACUUCGGCCUGGCGGCGAGUGGCGAACGGGUGAGUAAUGUAUCGGAACGUGCCUAGUAGCGGGGGAUAACUACGCGAAAGCGUGGCUAAUACCGCAUACGCCCUACGGGGGAAAGGGGGGGAUCGGCAAGACCCUCUCACUAUUAGAGCGGCCGAUAUCGGAUUAGCUAGUUGGUGGGUAAAGGCCCACAAGGCGACGAUCCGUAGCUGGUUUGAGACGGACGACCAGCCACGACUGGGACUGGAGACACGGCCCCAGACCUCCGUACGGGGACGGCAAGGCAGGUUGGGGAAUUUUGGGAACUAAGUGGGGGGAAACCCUGGACUCCGAAGCCAGUCCCGCGUGUAGACGAUUGGAAGGUCCUUCGGGUUA
RNAcentral lists this ribosomal RNA (424 nucleotides) under uncultured soil bacterium. RNAcentral describes it as "bacterial SSU rRNA". It matches the Rfam family "Bacterial small subunit ribosomal RNA", at positions 26 to 425 of the family's 1533-position model. The record is from RNAcentral.